This 482-nucleotide ribosomal RNA is filed under the name uncultured bacterium. RNAcentral describes it as "partial 16S ribosomal RNA". It matches the Rfam family "Bacterial small subunit ribosomal RNA", at positions 30 to 507 of the family's 1533-position model. The record is from RNAcentral.
AUUGAACGCUGGCGGCAUGCUUUACACAUGCAAGUCGAACGGCAGCGCGGGGCAACCUGGCGGCGAGUGGCGAACGGGUGAGUAAUAUAUCGGAACGUACCCAGAAGUGGGGGAUAACGUAGCGAAAGUUACGCUAAUACCCCAUACGAUCUACGGAUGAAAGUAGGGGACCGCAAGGCCUGAUGCGUUUGGAGCGGCCGAUAUCUGAUUAGCUAGUUGGUGGGGUAAAGGCUCACCAAGGCGACGAUCAGUAGCUGGUCUGAGAGGACGACCAGCCACACUGGAACUGAGACACGGUCCAGACUCCUACGGGAGGCAGCAGUGGGGAAUUUUGGACAAUGGGCGCAAGCCUGAUCCAGCAAUGCCGCGUGAGUGAAGAAGGCCUUCGGGUUGUAAAGCUCUUUUGUAAGGGAAGAAACGGUAGAGGCUAAUAUCCUUGGCUAAUGACGGUACCUGAAGAAUAAGCACCGGCUAACUACGUG